This 466-nucleotide ribosomal RNA is filed under the name uncultured Syntrophaceae bacterium. Its description in RNAcentral is "bacterial SSU rRNA". It matches the Rfam family "Bacterial small subunit ribosomal RNA", at positions 338 to 795 of the family's 1533-position model. Lineage: Bacteria; Pseudomonadati; Thermodesulfobacteriota; Syntrophia; Syntrophales; Syntrophaceae. The record is from RNAcentral.
CCUACGGGAGGCUGCAGUGAGGAAUCUUGCGCAAUGGGGGAAACCCUGACGCAGCAACGCCGCGUGAGUGAGGAAGGUUUUCGAAUCGUAAAGCUCUGUCAGGUGGAAAGAAAUGUCUGUACGUUAAUAGCGUGCAGACUUGACGGUACCACCAGAGGAAGCACCGGCUAACUCCGUGCCAGCAGCCGCGGUAAUACGGGGGGUGCAAGCGUUGUUCGGAAUCAUUGGGCGUAAAGAGCGUGUAGGCGGCUUGAUAAGUCAGAUGUGAAAGCCCUGGGCUUAACCCAGGAAGUGCAUUUGAAACUGUCUGGCUAGAGUAAGGAAGAGGAAAGCGGAAUUCCUGGUGUAGAGGUGAAAUUCGUAGAUAUCAGGAGGAACACCGGUGGCGAAGGCGGCUUUCUGGUCCUAUACUGACGCUGAGACGCGAGAGCGUGGGUAGCAAACAGGAUUAGAUACCCCUGUAGUC